Molecule: transfer RNA, 72 nt
Filed under: Araneus ventricosus
Lineage: Eukaryota; Metazoa; Arthropoda; Arachnida; Araneae; Araneidae
Description: tRNA-Trp
Source: RNAcentral
UGACCCGGACGUGAUUUGAAGACGCAGCGUUCUGAUCUGGAGUCAGAUGCGCUACCGUUGCGCCACCGAGUC